Molecule: long non-coding RNA, 1016 nt
Filed under: Marmota monax (woodchuck)
Lineage: Eukaryota; Metazoa; Chordata; Mammalia; Rodentia; Sciuridae
Source: RNAcentral
CUUGAUAUUAAUAUCUUUGGGAACUGGAUUCUGGAAUCAUUAGUAUAUUUUGUAAAGCGUCUUUUUUGAAGCCACCUGUGGCAUGUGUAUGUUAUAUGUAAUACAUGCAAUACACAUACACAUACACAUAUAAUUAUUUCAAAGCCUAUUUUAGAACUUAUUUUAUAAAUCGUGUACAUAGAUAAAAACACUAAAGAUUGCUUUUUAUUUAUUAUAAACAUUGAUAAUGUGGCAUAGCUGUGGCUUUGAUUUACUCAUGGCACACAUGCUGAUUUAAGAAAAGAUGAAUUACUCAAUUUUCAUUUCAGGAUAAAGGCCUCUUCUUGCAGUUGGUAUAAUAAGGAUAUUCUUUACUGUCUAUGCCACCAUCUCAUCAUUAAAGUUUUGGUUCUGAGUAUUAUGCCUGUGGCUCUGUAUGAGUUGUAUAGCUAGGUUGCUUUGCUGUUGUUGAGCUUUUUUGGCUUAGUUUUAAGAGACAUUUUGGUGUGACUCAUGAUUCUUACUUGAUAGUGAUUUUGUGAUGUUAUAUAAUCAGGAAUACAUGCAGUACUGAUUUCUAGGGAAAAUAACUUUCAGAGCAUUGAGGUGUUUAAUUCUUGCCACUGACCAACAUGUAAGAUGUUUGUUUCAUUUGAGAAAACAGAUAUUUCAUAGACAUUCAUUCACUUGUGACUUUAACAUGCUAAUUUGUGGCAGAGUUAUGGGAAACAUUUAUUAAGUACCUCCUCAUUAUAGGCCAAGAUGUGUCCAGUUCUUUGCAUAUAUUCUCAUUUAAUUUUUGCUGUAAUCCCAAUACAAACUCAAUAUUAUCCUUAUUUUAUAGGUAGGAAAACUAAUGCUUAGUGAUUGUUGUUGUGAGUUGUUAAUCAAGCGGAGGCACAGCCAGGACUGAAUCACUGUUUUUGAUUUCAGAGAUGUUUCACGUUUCCUUUGCAAUAUAUUGUACCAGCUGGGUUUUAGGGGAGAAAAUCUGCACACUAGGAAGUAAAUCCUGUGGAGUGAAUGAAGCUCUGUCU